UAGAUGAAUGGCUGGUUGGAGCAACUGUAUUAGAGGUGUUUUAUACCAGUGUUAUCACAAGUUGACACUAGGGGGAGCUAGUUGGCUGGAGGACACUAAUCGGCCAGGCAAUACGCCCAGCAUUCCCUCUUGUGUCGUUCCAAGAUCGUUGGCUGCUCAUUGCUUCGGACGUGUUCCUGCUGGGUCAGACUCGGUUCAGACUGAAUGUUUAACAACAGUUAGCUUUGACCCUACUGUCCGGGACUGAGGGCACCGUCGUCAGGUUCAUUGGUCAGGUUUCUGGUAAGGAGUGGAUUUCUGGACAGUUCAGCAUCUGGCAGAACACCCAUUGAAGGAUUCGUCCAUCAGGAGACUAAGAUUCCAGUUAACUGGAUGGCAAGCCAACCUAUGACAAAUUUGAGAGACCAAGAGAAGGAGGAUCGCUCCUGAAGAGGAAUUACUGCGCUCAUGGUGUGGUAGGACAGAAAGGACACACGCAUACACCUGGAUUGGGCCCCAGCGACUGAUCCUCUGACUAACACCAAAAGACUGGACUCAGACACUUCUAUUUUUUUGUCAUUUGCGCGCUUUUUUAAAAAAAAUUUUUUAUUGUACUGUUGUAAUGUUGUUGUUGUGCAACUAACCUGCACUAAUUGUCCUUAUUACAACUAUUUUGGCAAAUC
Molecule: long non-coding RNA, 662 nt
Organism: Amphiprion ocellaris (clown anemonefish)
Lineage: Eukaryota; Metazoa; Chordata; Actinopteri; Pomacentridae
Exons: 2
Source: RefSeq, a predicted model, not a curated record